AUAAAGAUGGUUGAGUUGGUCUAAGGUGUUGGAUUAAGGUUUUGGCCCUGAAAGGGCAUGGGUUCAAAUCCCAUUCUCAACAUUUAUU
Non-coding RNA from Sphenostylis stenocarpa, 88 nucleotides. Lineage: Eukaryota; Viridiplantae; Streptophyta; Magnoliopsida; Fabales; Fabaceae. The record is from the annotation of a GenBank genome assembly.